AAUGAACGCUGGCGGCAUGCCUAACACAUGCAAGUCGAACGAAAAGACCGGGACCUGUGGCGCCUGGGUGUGUCACGGGACGGAAGAUGCACUCAGGUUUGGCAUACCUCUCCGACAGGGGUGCCAAUAGCGGAUCAUGUCUUCGGACCAAGGAUUUAUUGAAUUUGGUUGUGCCAGCGUUGGAUUCGCUAGUUGGUAUGGUAAAAGCCUACUAAGGCGACGAUCCAUAGCUGGGCUGAGAGGAUGGUCAGCAACUCUUGGACUAGGACGCGGCCCAGACUCCUACGGGAGGCAGCAGUGGGGAAUGGUGGAAAGUGGGCGGAGGGCUGAUCCAGCUAGGCCGCGUGAGUGAUGAAGGCCGGAGAGAUGUAAAGUGCAAUUAACCGGGAUGAUAAUGACGGUACCGAGUGAAUAAGCCCCGGCUAACUCCGUG
RNAcentral lists this ribosomal RNA (433 nucleotides) under uncultured bacterium. Its description in RNAcentral is "partial 16S ribosomal RNA". It matches the Rfam family "Bacterial small subunit ribosomal RNA", at positions 29 to 507 of the family's 1533-position model. The record is from RNAcentral.